RNAcentral lists this transfer RNA (74 nucleotides) under Candidatus Altarchaeales archaeon WOR_SM1_86-2. RNAcentral's name for it is "Candidatus Altiarchaeales archaeon WOR_SM1_86-2 tRNA-Pro". It matches the Rfam family "tRNA". Rfam says of the family: Transfer RNA (tRNA) molecules are approximately 80 nucleotides in length. RNAcentral also lists the same sequence under 1 other name. Lineage: Archaea; Nanobdellati; Candidatus Altarchaeota; Candidatus Altarchaeia; Candidatus Altarchaeales. The record is from RNAcentral.
GGGAUCGUGGGGUAGCUUGGUAAUCCUUCGGGCUUAGGGAGCCCGUGACUCGAGUUCGAAUCUCGACGAUCCCA